Molecule: ribosomal RNA, 474 nt
Filed under: uncultured bacterium
Lineage: Bacteria
Description: bacterial SSU rRNA
Rfam family: Bacterial small subunit ribosomal RNA
Source: RNAcentral
CAGGCCUAACACAUGCAAGUCGAACGGAUGUAGCAAUACAUUAGUGGCGCACGGGUGCGUAACACGUAACUAACCUACCCAGAACUGGGGGAUAGCCCGCCGAAAGGCGGAUUAAUACCGCAUAACACGAGGUGGCGGCAUCGUCUCUUCGUUAAAGAUUUAUUGGUUUUGGAUGGGGUUGCGGGUCAUUAGCUAGUUGGGUAGGUAACGGCUGCCCAAGGCGACGAUGACUAGGGGAGCUGAGAGGCUGGUCCCCCACACGGGCACUGAGAUACGGGCCCGACUCCUACGGGAGGCAGCAGUAGGGAAUAUUGGGCAAUGGGCGAGAGCCUGACCCAGCCAUGCCGCGUGCAGGACGAAGGCUUUCUGAGUCGUAAACUGCUUUUGACAGGGAAGAAUAAGGCUUACGUGUAAGCUGAUGACGGUACCUGCAGAAUAAGCACCGGCUAACUCCGUGCCAGCAGCCGCGGUAAU